Molecule: ribosomal RNA, 169 nt
Filed under: uncultured bacterium
Lineage: Bacteria
Description: partial 16S ribosomal RNA
Rfam family: Bacterial small subunit ribosomal RNA
Source: RNAcentral
CCUACGGGAGGCAGCAGUGGGGAAUCUUGCGCAAUGGGGGAAACCCUGACGCAGCAACGCCGCGUGCGGGAUGAAGGCCUUCGGGUCGUAAACCGCUUUCAGCAGGAACGAUCAUGACGGUACCUGCAGAAGAAGCCCCGGCUAACUACGUGCCAGCAGCCGCGGUAAU